UGGCUCAGGAUGAACGCUGGCGGCGUGCCUAAUACAUGCAAGUCGAGCGAACAGAUAAGGAGCUUGCUCCUUUGACGUUAGCGGCGGACGGGUGAGUAACACGUGGGUAACCUACCUAUAAGACUGGAAUAACUCCGGGAAACCGGGGCUAAUGCCGGAUAACAUGUUGAACCGCAUGGUUCUACAGUGAAAGACGGUCUUGCUGUCACUUAUAGAUGGACCCGCGCCGUAUUAGCUAGUUGGUGGGGUAACGGCCUACCAAGGCGACGAUACGUAGCCGACCUGAGAGGGUGAUCGGCCACACUGGAACUGAGACACGGUCCAGACUCCUACGGGAGGCAGCAGUAGGGAAUCUUCCGCAAUGGGCGAAAGCCUGACGGAGCAACGCCGCGUGAGUGAUGAAGGUCUUCGGAUCGUAAAGCUCUGUUGUUAGGGAAGAACAAAUGUGUAAGUAACUGUGCAC
RNAcentral lists this ribosomal RNA (463 nucleotides) under Staphylococcus pseudintermedius. RNAcentral describes it as "bacterial SSU rRNA". It matches the Rfam family "Bacterial small subunit ribosomal RNA", at positions 20 to 473 of the family's 1533-position model. Lineage: Bacteria; Bacillati; Bacillota; Bacilli; Caryophanales; Staphylococcaceae. The record is from RNAcentral.